AGAGUAUGCUACGGGAGGGCAGCAUGGGGAAUAUUGCACAAUGGGGGAAACCCUGAUGCAGCGACGCCGAGUGAGGGAAGAAGGUUUUUCGGAUUGUAAACCUCUGUCCUUGGUGAAGAUAAUGACGGUAACCAAGGAGGAAGCUACGGCUAACUACGUGCC
This 162-nucleotide ribosomal RNA is filed under the name uncultured bacterium. RNAcentral describes it as "partial 16S ribosomal RNA". It matches the Rfam family "Bacterial small subunit ribosomal RNA", at positions 331 to 509 of the family's 1533-position model. The record is from RNAcentral.